UUCAGCAGACUACCCAUAGGAGUGAUCAACCUGUGGGUGUGCCAAAUCUCAACCAGCCAUCCUUAUGAAAUAUUAUGUCCAGUUGGGCCUAGCAAUAUCAGAUGCACCGUAUCGACUACCCAUGAUAAGGGUGCACCAUGGUGUGGUCAGCGAUAGCCCAGUUGGUAUCUUCUUGUGAAAUAUUAUAUCCAAUGGGAUCUAGCAGUAUCAGAUAUACUGUAUUGACGGUCU
Molecule: long non-coding RNA, 231 nt
Filed under: Elaeis guineensis (African oil palm)
Lineage: Eukaryota; Viridiplantae; Streptophyta; Magnoliopsida; Arecales; Arecaceae
Description: long non-coding RNA (EGUI_LNC050882)
Source: RNAcentral